This 253-nucleotide ribosomal RNA is filed under the name uncultured prokaryote. RNAcentral's name for it is "partial 16S ribosomal RNA". It matches the Rfam family "Bacterial small subunit ribosomal RNA", at positions 525 to 777 of the family's 1533-position model. The record is from RNAcentral.
ACGAAGGGUGCAAGCGUUACUCGGAAUUACUGGGCGUAAAGCGCACGUAGGCGGCUUAGCAAGUCGGAUGUGAAAUCCCUCGGCUCAACCAAGGAAGUGCAUCCGAAACUGCUGAGCUUGAGUACGAAAGAGGAUCGCGGAAUUCCCGGUGUAGAGGUGAAAUUCGUAGAUAUCGGGAGGAACACCAGUGGCGAAGGCGGCGAUCUGGGUCGAUACUGACGCUGAGGUGCGAAAGCGUGGGGAGCAAACAGGA